UGGUCGUGUUCUGUGAUGGUAGAUAGUC
RNAcentral lists this small RNA (28 nucleotides) under Bombyx mori (domestic silkworm). RNAcentral describes it as "ovarian small RNA-35157". The record is from RNAcentral. Lineage: Eukaryota; Metazoa; Arthropoda; Insecta; Lepidoptera; Bombycidae.